RNAcentral lists this ribosomal RNA (625 nucleotides) under uncultured bacterium. RNAcentral describes it as "bacterial SSU rRNA". It matches the Rfam family "Bacterial small subunit ribosomal RNA", at positions 167 to 810 of the family's 1533-position model. The record is from RNAcentral.
UACCGCAUAAGCCUGCGGUGCCGCAUGGCACAGCAGGGAAAACCACGGUGGUACAGGAUGGGCCCGCGUCUGAUUAGUUAGUUGGCAGGGUAACGGCCUACCAAGACGAUGAUCAGUAGCCGGCUUGAGAGAGUGGACGGCCACAUUGGGACUGAGACACGGCCCAGACUCCUGCGGGAGGCAGCAGUGGGGAAUAUUGCACAAUGGGGGAAACCCUGAUGCAGCAAUGCCGCGUGGGUGAAGAAGCACUCCGGUGCGUAAAGCCCUGUCAGCAGGGAAGAAAAUGACAGUACCUGACCAAGAAGCCCCGGCUAACUACGUGCCAGCAGCCGCGGUAAUACGUAGGGGGCAAGCGUUAUCCGGAUUUACUGGGUGUAAAGGGAGCGCAGGCGGUAUGGCAAGUCAGAUGUGAAAACCCAGGGCUCAACCCUGGGACUGCAUUUGAAACUGCCAUACUGGAGUGCCGGAGAGGUAAGUGGAAUUCCUAGUGUAGCGGUGAAAUGCGUAGAUAUUAGGAGGAACACCAGUGGCGAAGGCGGCUUACUGGACGGUAACUGACGCUGAGGCUCGAAAGCGUGGGGAGCAAACAGGAUUAGAUACCCUGGUAGUCCACGCUGUAAACGAU